GACGAACGCUGGCGGCGUGCUUAACACAUGCAAGUCGAACGGAAAGGCCCUGCUUUUGUGGGGUGCUCGAGUGGCGAACGGGUGAGUAACCCGUGAGUAACCUGCCCUUGACUUUGGGAUAACUUCAGGAAACUGGGGCUAAUACCGGAUAGGAGCUCCUGCUGCAUGGUGGGGGUUGGAAAGUUUCGGCUGUUGGGGAUGGACUCGCGGCUUAUCAGCUUGUUGGUGGGGUAGUGGCUUACCAAGGCAUUGACGGGUAGCCGGCCUGAGAGGGUGACCGGCGACAAUGGGACUGAGAUACGGCCCAGACGCCUACGGGAGGCAGCAGUGGGGAAUAUUGUACAAUGGGCGGAAGCGUGAUGCAGCAACGCCGCGUGCGGGAUGACGGCCUUCGGGUUGUAAACCGCUUUCGCCUGUGACGAAGCGUGAGUGACGGUAAUGGGAAAAGAAGCACCGGCUAACUACGUG
Molecule: ribosomal RNA, 468 nt
Filed under: uncultured bacterium
Lineage: Bacteria
Description: partial 16S ribosomal RNA
Rfam family: Bacterial small subunit ribosomal RNA
Source: RNAcentral